UNGACAGAGCUCUGUUCCAGGGUCACCGUG
RNAcentral lists this non-coding RNA (30 nucleotides) under Mus musculus (house mouse). Lineage: Eukaryota; Metazoa; Chordata; Mammalia; Rodentia; Muridae. The record is from RNAcentral.